Molecule: ribosomal RNA, 747 nt
Filed under: uncultured archaeon
Lineage: Archaea
Description: bacterial SSU rRNA
Rfam family: Archaeal small subunit ribosomal RNA
Source: RNAcentral
UCCUGGCGGAGGCUACUGCUAUUGGGGUUCGAUUAAGCCAUGCAAGUUGAACGAUUCUUCGGAAUCGUGGCGAACGGCUCAGUAACACGUGGAUAACCUACCCUUAGGACCGGUAUAACCCUGGGAAACUGGGGACAAUCCCGGAUAGGUGAUUUUUUCUGUAAUGAUUUUUCAUUUAAAUGCUCCGGCGCCUGAGGAUGGGUCUGCGGCAGAUUAGGUAGUUGGUAGGGUAAUGGCCUACCAAGCCGGUGAUCUGUACGGGUUGUGAGAGCAAGAGCCCGGAGAUGGAACCUGAGACAAGGUUCCAGGCCCUACGGGGCGCAGCAGGCGCGAAACCUCCGCAAUGCGAGAAAUCGCGACGGGGGGACCCCAAGUGCCACUCUUAACGGGGUGGCUUUUCUUGAGUGUAAAAAGCUUUUGGAAUAAGGGCUGGGCAAGACCGGUGCCAGCCGCCGCGGUAACACCGGCAGCUCUAGUGGUAGCCAUUUUUAUUGGGCCUAAAGCGUUCGUAGCCGGUUUGAUAAGUCUCUGGUGAAAUCCUGUAGCUUAACUGUGGGAAUUGCUGGAGAUACUAUUAGACUUGAGGUCGGGAGAGGUUAGCGGUACUCCCAGGGUAGGGGUGAAAUCCUGUAAUCCUGGGAGGACCACCUGUGGCGAAGGCGGCUAACUGGAACGAACCUGACGGUGAGGGACGAAAGCCAGGGGCGCGAGCCGGAUUAGAUACCCGGGUAGUCCUGGCCGUAAACG